UUAAAAAAAAUUAAUCAGUAACAAUUAAAAAGAUUAAUACGACGUACAUAUAUCAUUUGAAAGAAAUUAUUACUGGAAAAAUUAUACAAGUGGCAGAGAGAUGAAUCGAUUUUUGGUGAUUAUAUAGUUGGCAUCUUGGAGAGUGAUGAAAUGCAUGAAUAAAAAGCAGAUACUUUACAGGAACUGUUAGGUGCAGUGGUGGGUGAUACAAGUUAAUUUUAGUUAAAAUGAUAUUAGGAAAAAGCACGAAAAAUAUAUAGCGUCAGAUACGUAAACAAAUAUUAGCAUAUUACUCAAAGAUAAUGUUGCUUGUAAAUCCUACCAAAGCUGUUACUGUACCAUAUACAAUUUGGAAUAUCAUGACAUCACGCGGCUUAUUGCUUAUUGCUUACAGCUGAUUAGGUCUAUUAAAUUAUGCGAUAUGGAGUCAAUGUCGUCACUAAAAUACUAGACCUGUCGGAUUCUGUAUCUGAUGUUUUUUUUCGCAUUUCAUACGAAUUACUAGUGCGAUGGAUGUUAAAAAGCUCAUGGAUGAAAUCGAAAUUUAUUUGACAAAAUGUAUGCGAUAAAAAGAAGGAAAUUAUUUUUAAUCCAUUUAAAUGUGGGCUUAAAAUUUCGAAUUUAGAUAAAAAAAGACUUAAAUGGAAAGUAAUAUUAACGGGAAGUUUAACCAAAUAUGCACCUAUCCAAGAAGAAAUGUUUAUGCAAGGCGAAUAUAUGUUACAACCUCUCUAAUGACAAAUGAAGAGUGAUUGUGAAAAUAAAAAAGAACAAUUUAAUUUACAAAG
Long non-coding RNA from Teleopsis dalmanni, 788 nucleotides. RefSeq lists it as uncharacterized. Lineage: Eukaryota; Metazoa; Arthropoda; Insecta; Diptera; Diopsidae. The transcript has 3 exons. The record is from RefSeq and is a predicted model, not a curated record.